AAGGAUCAUUACAAAAAGAUUGGUAUGCUUCGCGCAUGUCGCUCUUUAAACCCACACCUGAGUACCUUUCCUGUUGCUUCCGCGGAGCGGGGACCAGCCCUCUGGGCGCGCCUCCGCCCGACGACGCGAGAGUCGUCGGGAGAGCCUCCGCGGGAGGUACACCUUCAAACCCUUUUGCAUCCAUGUCGUCUGUCUGAAUAUUGCUUGUAAUAAAUGUCAAAACUUUCAACAACGGAUCUCUUGGUUCUCGCAUCGAUGAAGAACGCAGCGAAAUGCGAUAAGUAGUGUGAAUUGCAGAAUUCAGUGAAUCAUCGAAUCUUUGAACGCACAUUGCGCCUCCGGGGCUUGUUCCGGAGGCAUGCCUGUUCGAGCGUCAUUAAAAACCACUCAAGCUGCUUUUGCUUGGUUAUGGUGGAGGAGCUACGCCCUGGCGCGAGCUCCCCUCCGAAAUCCAAUGGCGGAUGGCCUCGCGGCUGCCACGGCGUGAUAAGUUAAACCUUUCGCCCGGCGCCCGAGGCGCUCCUGCCCUCGAACCCCCAGUUUUCUACGGUUGACCUCGGAUCAGGUAGGGAUACCCGCUUGAACUA
RNAcentral lists this ribosomal RNA (587 nucleotides) under Sporendonema purpurascens. RNAcentral describes it as "eukaryotic LSU rRNA". The stretch from base 221 to 376 matches the Rfam family "5.8S ribosomal RNA". The record is from RNAcentral. Lineage: Eukaryota; Fungi; Ascomycota; Eurotiomycetes; Onygenales; Gymnoascaceae.